RNAcentral lists this long non-coding RNA (247 nucleotides) under Mytilus galloprovincialis (Mediterranean mussel). The record is from RNAcentral. Lineage: Eukaryota; Metazoa; Mollusca; Bivalvia; Mytilida; Mytilidae.
AAAAAAAAAGAUGUGGUAUGAUUGCCAAUGAGACAACUCUCCACAAGAGACCAAAAUGACACAGACAUCAACAACUAUAGGUCACCGUACGGCCUUCAACAAUGAACAAAGCAUAUACCGCAUUAUCGGCUAUAAAAGGCCCCGAUGUGACGAUGUAAAACAAUGCAAACGGGAAAACUAACGGCCUUAUUUAUAUAAAAAAAAAUGAACGAAAAACAAAUAUGUAACAUAUAAACAAACUACAACC